RNAcentral lists this ribosomal RNA (256 nucleotides) under uncultured bacterium. RNAcentral's name for it is "partial 16S ribosomal RNA". It matches the Rfam family "Bacterial small subunit ribosomal RNA", at positions 524 to 776 of the family's 1533-position model. The record is from RNAcentral.
UACGGAGGGGGCGAGCGUUAUUCGGAAUUAUUGGGCGUAAAGGGCGCGUAGGCGGCUGUACAAGUCAAAGGUGAAAUCCCUCGGCUCAACUGAGGAACUGCCUUUGAAACUGUACGGCUUGAGGCCGGGAGGGGGGUAGCGGAAUUCCCCAAUGUAGCGGUGAAAUGCGUAGAUAUUGGGGAGGAACACCAGUGGCGAAGGCGGCUACCUGGACCGGUUCUGACGCUGAUGCGCGAAAGCGUGGGUAGCAAACAGG